UGGCUAUCUGGUCGAUCCGCAGACGGCCGAGUCGAUCAAGUCUGUGCUGAAUGCCACGGCUUCAAUCCGCGCGAUUGCAAAUGUGGUGAAUGUCGAGGCGGGAUCGUUUGAUGUUCUGAUCGACUCGACCGAAGCGGGCGCUGGCUGGGCAGAUGAAUCCUCGGCGACGGGUGAAACUGGCACGCCGACCAUCGAGCGGAUCACCAUUCCGCUUCAUGAACUCAGUGCGCUGCCGAAGGCAUCGCAGCGUCUUCUGGAUGACAGUGCAUUCGACAUCGAGGCCUGGCUUGCAGGUCGGAUCGCCGACAAGUUUGCACGCGCCGAGGCGGCCGCAUUCAUCAAUGGUGACGGUGUCGACAAACCGACCGGCAUUUUGAACCACGCGGCGAUCGACAAUGAUGUCUGGACUUGGGGCAAUAUUGGCUAUGUCCCGACGGGCGUUGACAGCGAUUUCAAUGGCGGGGAUGCCAUUAUCGACCUCGUUUAUGCGCUGGAUGCCCAGUAUCGCGCCAACGGUACCUUCGUGAUGAACUCCAAGACGGCGGGCGCAGUGCGCAAGCUCAAGGAUGGUGACGGCCGCUUCCUUUGGUCCGAUGGCCUUGCCGCCGGUGAACCGGCGCGUCUUCUGGGCUAUCCGGUGCUGAUUGCGGAAGACAUGCCGGACAUUGCGUCGGGCGCCGACGCGAUCGCCUUUGGCGACUUCAACGCAGGCUACACGGUCGCCGAACGCCCGGACCUGCGGGUGCUGCGGGAUCCGUUCAGCGC
Molecule: ribosomal RNA, 765 nt
Filed under: uncultured Rhodobacterales bacterium
Lineage: Bacteria; Pseudomonadati; Pseudomonadota; Alphaproteobacteria; Rhodobacterales
Description: partial 16S ribosomal RNA
Source: RNAcentral